Acanthochromis polyacanthus (spiny chromis) is the source of this 240-nucleotide long non-coding RNA. RefSeq lists it as uncharacterized. NCBI's taxonomy places the organism in Eukaryota, Metazoa, Chordata, Actinopteri, Pomacentridae. The record is from RefSeq and is a predicted model, not a curated record. The transcript is spliced from 3 exons.
CCAGUUGUCAGUAGGUCUACCCUAGAAUUUUCUCCAGUUGUCGGUAGGUCUGCUCUAGAACUUUCUCCAGUUGUCGGUAGGUCUACUCUAGAACUUUCCAGUUGUCGGUAGGUCUGCUCUAGAACUUUCUCCAGUUGUCGGUAGGUCUACUCUAGAACUUUCUCCAGUCGUCGGUAGGUCUACUCUAGAACUUUCCAGUUGUCGGUAGGUCUACUCUAGAACUUUCUCCAGUUGUCAGUA